GGGAUAACUCCGGGAAACCGGGGCUAAUACCGGAUUGUUGUUUGAACCGCAUGGUUCAAACAUAAAAGGUGGCUUCGGCUACCACUUACAGAUGGACCCGCGGCGCAUUAGCUAGUUGGUGAGGUAACGGGCUCACCAAAGGCAAACGAUGCGUAGCCGACCUGAGAGGGUGAUUGGCCACACUGGGACUGAGACACGGCCCAGACUCCUACGGGAGGCAGCAGUAGGGAAUCUUCCGCAAUGGACGAAAGUCUGACGGAGCAACGCCGCGUGAGUGAUGAAGGUUUUCGGAUCGUAAAGCUCUGUUGUUAGGGAAGAACAAGUACCGUUCGAAUAGGGCGGUACCUUGACGGUACCUAACCAGAAAGCCACGGCUAACUACGUGCCAGCAGCCGCGGUAAUACGUAGGUGGCAAGCGUUGUCCGGAAUUAUUGGGCGUAAAGGGCUCGCAGGCGGUUUCUUAAGUCUGAUGUGAAAGCCCCCGGCUCAACCGGGGAGGGUCAUUGGAAACUGGGGAACUUGAGUGCAGAAGAGGAGAGUGGAAUUCCACGUGUAGCGGUGAAAUGCGUAGAGAUGUGGAGGAACACCAGUGGCGAAGGCGACUCUCUGGUCUGUAACUGACGCUGAGGAGCGAAAGCGUGGGGAGCGAACAGGAUWARAUACCCUGGUAGUCCACGCCGUAAACGAUGAGUGCUAAKUGUUAGGGGGUUUCCGCCCCUUAGUGCUGCAGCUAACGCAUUAAGCACUCCGCCUGGGGAGUACGGUCGCAAGACUGAAACUCAAAGGAAUUGACGGGGGCCCGCACAAGCGGUGGAGCAUGUGGUUUAAUUCGAAGCAACGCGAAGAACCUUACCAGGUCUUGACAUCCUCUGACAAUCCUAGAGAUAGGACGUCCCCUUCGGGGGCAGAGUGACAGGUGGUGCAUGGUUGUCGUCAGCUCGUGUCGUGAGAUGUUGGGUUAAGUCCCGCAACGAGCGCAACCCUUGAUCUUAGUUGCCAGCAUUCAGUUGGGCACUCUAAGGUGACUGCCGGUGACAAACCGGAGGAAGGUGGGGAUGACGUCAAAUCAUCAUGCCCCUUAUGACCUGGGCUACACACGUGCUACAAUGGACAGAAACAAAGGGCAGCGAAAACCGCGAGGGUUAAAGCCAAUCCCACAAAUCUGUUCUCA
Molecule: ribosomal RNA, 1171 nt
Filed under: Bacillus subtilis subsp. subtilis
Lineage: Bacteria; Bacillati; Bacillota; Bacilli; Caryophanales; Bacillaceae
Description: bacterial SSU rRNA
Rfam family: Bacterial small subunit ribosomal RNA
Source: RNAcentral